UACGUAGGGGGCAAGCGUUGUCCGGAAUUAUUGGGCGUAAAGCGCGCGCAGGCGGUUUAUUAAGUCUGAUGUGAAAGCCCACGGCUCAACCGUGGAGGGCCAUUGGAAACUGGUAGGCUUGAGUGCAGGAGAGGAGAGCGGAAUUCCCGGUGUAGCGGUGAAAUGCGUAGAUAUCGGGAGGAACGCCGGUGGCGAAAGCGGCGCACUGGAUCCCUACUGACGCUCAGGUGCGAAAGCUAGGGGAGCGAACAGG
This 253-nucleotide ribosomal RNA is filed under the name uncultured bacterium. RNAcentral's name for it is "partial 16S ribosomal RNA". It matches the Rfam family "Bacterial small subunit ribosomal RNA", at positions 524 to 776 of the family's 1533-position model. The record is from RNAcentral.